GAUGAACGCUGGCGGCGUGCUUAACACAUGCAAGUCGAACGAUGAAGCCCAGCUUGCUGGGUGGAUUAGUGGCGAACGGGUGAGUAACACGUGAGUAACCUGCCCUUAACUCUGGGAUAAGCCUGGGAAACUGGGUCUAAUACCGGAUAGGAGCGCCUACCGCAUGGUGGGUGUUGGGAAGAUUUAUCGGUUUUGGAUGGACUCGCGGCCUAUCAGCUUGUUGGUGAGGUAAUGGCUCACCAAGGCGACGACGGGUAGCCGGCCUGAGAGGGUGACCGGCCACACUGGGACUGAGACACGGCCCAGACUCCUACGGGAGGCAGCAGUGGGGAAUAUUGCACAAUGGGCGAAAGCCUGAUGCAGCGACGCCGCGUGAGGGAUGACGGCCUUCGGGUUGUAAACCUCUUUCAGUAGGGAAGAAGCGAAAGUGACGGUACCUGCAGAAGAAGCACCGGCUAACUACGUG
This 466-nucleotide ribosomal RNA is filed under the name uncultured bacterium. RNAcentral's name for it is "partial 16S ribosomal RNA". It matches the Rfam family "Bacterial small subunit ribosomal RNA", at positions 28 to 507 of the family's 1533-position model. The record is from RNAcentral.